This 467-nucleotide ribosomal RNA is filed under the name uncultured bacterium. RNAcentral's name for it is "partial 16S ribosomal RNA". It matches the Rfam family "Bacterial small subunit ribosomal RNA", at positions 29 to 507 of the family's 1533-position model. The record is from RNAcentral.
ACGAACGCUGGCGGCGUGCUUAACCCAUGCAAGUCGAACGGAAAGGCCCUGCUUUUGUGGGGUGCUCGAGUGGCGAACGGGUGAGUAACACGUGAGUAACCUGCCCUUGACUUUGGGAUAACUUCAGGAAACUGGGGCUAAUACCGGAUAGGAGCUCCUGCUGCAUGGUGGGGGUUGGAAAGUUUCGGCGGUUGGGGAUGGACUCGCGGCUUAUCAGCUUGUUGGUGGGGUAGUGGCUUACCAAGGCUUUGACGGGUAGCCGGCCUGAGAGGGUGACCGGCCACAUUGGGACUGAGAUACGGCCCAGACUCCUACGGGAGGCAGCAGUGGGGAAUAUUGCACAAUGGGCGGAAGCCUGAUGCAGCAACGCCGCGUGCGGGAUGACGGCCUUCGGGUUGUAAACCGCUUUCGCCUGUGACGAAGCGUGAGUGACGGUAAUGGGUGAAGAAGCACCGGCUAACUACGUG